RNAcentral lists this transfer RNA (76 nucleotides) under Mycobacteroides chelonae. Its description in RNAcentral is "(Mycobacterium chelonae corrig. Bergey et al. 1923 (Approved Lists 1980) emend. Kim et al. 2017) tRNA-Lys". It matches the Rfam family "tRNA". From Rfam's summary of the family: Transfer RNA (tRNA) molecules are approximately 80 nucleotides in length. Their secondary structure includes four short double-helical elements and three loops (D, anti-codon, and T loops). Lineage: Bacteria; Bacillati; Actinomycetota; Actinomycetes; Mycobacteriales; Mycobacteriaceae. The record is from RNAcentral. RNAcentral also lists the same sequence under 55 other names.
GCGCCGUUAGCUCAGUUGGUAGAGCAGCUGACUCUUAAUCAGCGGGUCCGGGGUUCGAGCCCCUGACGGCGCACCA